This is an RNA transcript of Mauremys reevesii (Reeves's turtle), 1173 nucleotides long. It is a transcript of the gene named phospholipase A2 inhibitor and Ly6/PLAUR domain-containing protein-like, with no coding region annotated. NCBI's taxonomy places the organism in Eukaryota, Metazoa, Chordata, Testudines, Geoemydidae. The record is from RefSeq and is a predicted model, not a curated record. The transcript is spliced from 6 exons.
UCAGCAGCUUUAUUCCCAUCGCAGCCUGUGCUCUCCCUGUCAUCAUGAAGGUUUCCUUCACCCUCUGCAUCCUCUUGGCUUUCAUAGAUGCAGGGAGCUCUCUUCAGUGUGAGGUUUGCCAUGAAAUAGGGGAGAGCUGUUCCGGCCCCAUGGAAACCUGCGAUACUGGCAAAGAAACCUGUGGCAUCAUGAAGCACGAAGCUGUACAAGAGUCAAAGAGGAUUGUGAUAACCCAAAAGUCCUGCCUGCACUCCAACAGUUGCCGAGCAGACCCCAUUAGUAUGAACUUUGGGAAUGGAAUAACACGAAGGAGCGGAAUCACCUGCUGUGUGGGAGAAGCCUGUAAAACAGCAUCUGACCCAUUGCCACCAAUGAACACCGUGCCCAAUGGCCUGCAGUGUCCAGCAUGCUACACUGAGAAUUCUUACCAGUGUAGUGAAGACACUGUGCAUUGUACCGGAGCCCAGACCCAGUGUUUUGAUAUAGCUGGGAAAAUAACCAUUGAUAAGAUAUAAGCCCUCCUGCUUCUGAGUCCAAGACAGCUACUACCUAAAUGGAGAUUAAGAAGAAACUUCCCCUCUGGACAGGUGACUGUUUAGGCAUACUACCCCUAAAAACCGCAAUGAAGGGCUGCACCACCGAGUCUGAGUGCACUGCUCCAAAAGGGGAGAAAGGGUUCGAUAUGGACAUUGUGAGGUUUGAGUGCAAACCAGCCUCCAGCAGAGGCCACAAGGCUCUUGGAUUUGCCCCUUGUGUCGCCCUCCUCCUUCCACCCCUGUCAAGGCUUAUCUUGGUGCAGCUGCUUUCUUGAUCUUUCCUGCAGGUCUUGGGACACAUGCCCACAGUUGCUGUGCUGAAGCCACUCUAUCUGCUGCUUGCACAUGGCACUUUCUGCAGUUGUUUUUCCCUUUCAGGGACAAUCUGUUUUCUACUGGAAUCUCUCUGCCUUAGCCUUUUGCAAUGAAGCCAAGAAAAAUCUUCUAGAUUUUUGAUUUAUUUAAGCUGGUGAAGUUUAAUUAUAUUGGGCAUCACGAUGGCUAGGCUGGGACCCAGCGAGACCCUGUGUAGAACCACUAGACCAGGGGUAGGCAACCUAUGGCACGCGUGUGGAAGGCGGCACACGCGCUGAUUUUCAGUGGCACUCACACUGCCCGGGUCCUGGCCACCGGUCCA